UUCUACUGUCACCAUGGUAUCUAAGCUCAUCAGAGAAACUGCGCGAGGUUGUUGCUAGCUUGGUCUGUCUGCAGAAACAAGAAGUUGCCACGAGGUCCAGCCCAGGAGAAGCUUGAGCUGGAGUCAGCCAUGUCAUAGUAAGAAGUUCUUCAAUGAGAAGCCUGGCUGCCAUUACUGGAGCCAAUUGACACAAAGACUGCUGUGGUAGGACUGGAAUAAUCACCUUUCUGGUAACCUUUUGUCACAUGCUGCGACAUGAGCAACUUGCCCUAGCUCAGCCUUUUCCCAGCGGGACACACCUCACAGGUAAUUGUGCUGUCAAUCUGCUCCACAGCAGUUGUCAGCCCUCUGCAGACUGAGCUGCCAGGACUCACUUUUAGAGCAUUUAUUUAAAACAACUGUUUGAAUUUCACAGGUGCAAAAGCUUAAGCACAGGAGCACUUGCUAAAAAGAGGGCUUAGAGCCACCAUAAUUUUGAACUUUUGUGUGCUGAAUUUCUUGGAGAUGUCUCUCAUGAACCAGUUGCUUCAUGAUGUGCAGAGCUGU
Phalacrocorax carbo (great cormorant) is the source of this 546-nucleotide non-coding RNA. NCBI's taxonomy places the organism in Eukaryota, Metazoa, Chordata, Aves, Suliformes, Phalacrocoracidae. The record is from RefSeq and is a predicted model, not a curated record.